ACAGACAGACGGACAGUAGAGUUACAGACAGACAGACAGUAGAGUUACAGAUGGACAGUAGUGUUACAGACAGACGGACAGUGUUACAGACUGACAGACAGUAGAGUUACAGACUGACAGACAGUAGUGUUACAGACAGACAGACAGUGUUACAGACAGACGGACAGUAGUGUUACAGACUGACAGACAGUAGAGUUACAGACAGACGGACAGUAGAGUUACAGACUGACAGACAGUAGAGUUACAGACAGACAGACAGACAUUAGAGUUACAGACGGACAGUAGUGUUACAGACAGACGGACAGUGUUACAGACUGACAGACAGUAGUGUUACAGACUGACACAGUGUUACAGACAGACGGACAGUAGAGUUACAGACUGACAGACAGACAAGUUACAGACAGACGGACAGUAGAGUUACAGACGGACAGUAGAUAGAGUUACAGACAGACGGACAGUAGAGUUACAGACGGACAGUAGAGUUACAGACUGACAGACAGUAGUGUUACAGACUGACAGACAGUAGUGUUACAGACUGACAGACAGUAGUGUUACAGACAGACUGACAGUAGUGUUACAGACUGACAGUAGAGUUACAGACAGACAGAGUUACAGACAGACAAGAGUUAAAGAGGUUACAGACGGACAAAAGAGUUACAGAGUGACAGACAGAAGAGUGACAGACAGAAGAGUGACUGAGAGAAAAGUGUCAGACAGAAGAGUGUCAGACAGAAGAGUGUCAGACAGAAGAGUGUCAGACAGAAGAGUGUCAGACAGAAGAGUGUCAGACAGAAGAGUGUCAGACAGAAGAGUGACAGACAGAAGAGUGACAGACAGAAGAGUGACAGACAGAAGAGUGACAGACAGAAGAGUGACAGACAGUAGAGUGACAGACAGUAGAGUGACAGACAGUAGAGUGACAGAGCAGUGACAGACAGAUUCGUUGAGCUGUAGAUGAGUCUUCUCUCAGAUCAACCUGCGCCGCUCACUGCUUUAGUUCACCGUUGAUCUAAAUUCCCUAAACCGGCGGUUUGGCUGCAGGCGCUCUGAGCGUCCCGCCCUCCGUGAUUCGCACGGCGGAUUUGCAUACGAAUACAGAAACUGUUUUACACUGCAGGUUUAAGCAGGCAUCGUUUUGGAGCUCUAUUGUAACGUGUGUGUGUGUGUGUGUGUGUGUGUGUGUGUGUGUGUGUGUGUGUGUGUGUGUGUGUGUGUGUGUGUGUGUGUGUGUGUGUGUGUGUGUGUGUGUGUGUGUGUGUGUGUGUGUGUGUGUGUGUGUGUG
Gadus macrocephalus (Pacific cod) is the source of this 1282-nucleotide long non-coding RNA. RefSeq lists it as uncharacterized. The record is from RefSeq and is a predicted model, not a curated record. Lineage: Eukaryota; Metazoa; Chordata; Actinopteri; Gadiformes; Gadidae. The transcript is spliced from 3 exons.